GGUGGUGGCCGGGGAGGAUUUCCCAGUGGAGGUGGUGGAGGUGGAGGACAGCAACGAGCUGGGGACUGGAAGUGUCCUAAUCCUACAUGUGAGAACAUGAACUUCUCUUGGAGAAGUGAAUGCAACCAGUGUAAGGCACCUAAGCCAGAUGGCCCAGGAGGGGGACCAGGAGGCUCUCAUAUGGGGGGAAACUACGGAGAUGAUCGGCGUGGCAGAGGAGGAUAUGAUCGGGGCGGCUACCGGGGCCGAGGAGGGGACCGAGGGGGCUUCAGAGGGGGCCGGGGUGGUGGGGACAGAGGUGGUUUUGGCCCUGGCAAGAUGGACUCCAGGUGAGUAAGUCAAAACAAAAGUCAAGAAAAUUGGUCAGAGAUGAUGAGGAAGUAAGGAUUCUCUGGGAAAGGACAGCCUAGCUGGUUCCAUUUUUGGGAAGGAAGAGGAAGAAUUCAGAACCCAGUCUUAAGACUAUUUUGCUUUAAAGUCAUUUGUUGGGUAGCAUGGGCAAGUAGGGUAUUUGAAGGAUAUGCAUGGGCAGUUUGGUAACUCUUAAUCUAACAAAUAAUUUUUUCUUUCAGGGGUGAGCACAGACAGGAUCGCAGGGAGAGGCCAUAUUAGCCUGACUCCUGAAGUUCUGGAACAGCUCUUCCUGUACCCAGUGUUACCCUUGUUAUUUUGUAAACUUACAAUUCAGGAUUGCUCAUGGAUAUUUUUUGGGGGGGUGGGCAACGGUAUGUGUGUGUGUGUGAGUGUGUCAGACUACCGUAAUUGUAACCAUAUCUCUGGUUCCCAUUAAAAACCAUUUUAGUUAAA
Molecule: long non-coding RNA, 807 nt
Filed under: Rattus norvegicus (Norway rat)
Lineage: Eukaryota; Metazoa; Chordata; Mammalia; Rodentia; Muridae
Description: long non-coding RNA NONRATT001248
Source: RNAcentral